UGGAUCAAUGAUGACCAAUUGUGGCAUAUGAUCGUGGAUCAUGACGACACGUCUGGGAGUCUGAGGUCAAC
Cricetulus griseus (Chinese hamster) is the source of this 71-nucleotide small nucleolar RNA. Ensembl annotates it as small nucleolar RNA SNORD113/SNORD114 family. The record is from Ensembl. Lineage: Eukaryota; Metazoa; Chordata; Mammalia; Rodentia; Cricetidae.